CGAUUCAGGCCUAACACAUGCAAGUCGAGCGGAUGAGAGGAGCUUGCUCCUGGAUUCAGCGGCGGACGGGUGAGUAAUGCCUAGGAAUCUGCCUGGUAGUGGGGGACAACGUUUCGAAAGGAACGCUAAUACCGCAUACGUCCUACGGGAGAAAGCAGGGGACCUUCGGGCCUUGCGCUAUCAGAUGAGCCUAGGUCGGAUUAGCUAGUUGGUGAGGUAAUGGCUCACCAAGGCGACGAUCCGUAACUGGUCUGAGAGGAUGAUCAGUCACACUGGAACUGAGACACGGUCCAGACUCCUACGGGAGGCAGCAGUGGGGAAUAUUGGACAAUGGGCGAAAGCCUGAUCCAGCCAUGCCGCGUGUGUGAAGAAGGUCUUCGGAUUGUAAAGCACUUUAAGUUGGGAGGAAGGGUUGUAGAUUAAUACUCUGCAAUUUUGACGUUACCGACAGAAUAAGCACCGGCUAACUCUGUGCCAGCAGCCGCGGUAAUACAGAGGGUGCAAGCGUUAAUCGGAAUUACUGGGCGUAAAGCGCGCGUAGGUGGUUUGUUAAGUUGGAUGUGAAAUCCCCGGGCUCAACCUGGGAACUGCAUCCAAAACUGGCAAGCUAGAGUAUGGUAGAGGGUGGUGGAAUUUCCUGUGUAGCGGUGAAAUGCGUAGAUAUAGGAAGGAACACCAGUGGCGAAGGCGACCACCUGGACUGAUACUGACACUGAGGUGCGAAAGCGUGGGGAGCAAACAGGAUUAGAUACCCUGAUAGUCCACGCCGUAAACGAUGUCAACUAGCCGUUGGGAGCCUUGAGCUCUUAGUGGCGCAGCUAACGCAUUAAGUUGACCGCCUGGGGAGUACGGCCGCAAGGUUAAAACUCAAAUGAAUUGACGGGGGCCCGCACAAGCGGU
Molecule: ribosomal RNA, 900 nt
Filed under: Pseudomonas sp.
Lineage: Bacteria; Pseudomonadati; Pseudomonadota; Gammaproteobacteria; Pseudomonadales; Pseudomonadaceae
Description: bacterial SSU rRNA
Rfam family: Bacterial small subunit ribosomal RNA
Source: RNAcentral